GUAGGAGAGGUUCUAGAACACCCUCUAUAAAAAACUAGGGAUCG
Anoxybacillus flavithermus is the source of this 44-nucleotide non-coding RNA. NCBI's taxonomy places the organism in Bacteria, Bacillati, Bacillota, Bacilli, Caryophanales, Anoxybacillaceae. The record is from Rfam.